AUUGAACGCUGGCGGCAGGCCUAACACAUGCAAGUCGAGCGAGCGGCGGACGGGUGAGUAAUGUCUGGGAAACUGCCUGAUGGAGGGGGAUAACUAAUGGAAAAGGUAGCUAAUACCGCAUACCAUCAGAUGUGCCCAGAUGGGGUUGGCUAGUAGGUGGGGUAACGGCUCACCUAGGCGACGAUCCCUAGCGGGUCUGAGAGGAUGACCAGCCACACGUGAACUGUGACACGGUCCAGACUCCUACGGGAGGCAGCAGUGGGGAAUAUUGCACAAUGGGCGCAAGCCUGAUGCAGCCAUGCCGCGGGGUUGAAGAAGGCCUUCGGGUUGUAAAGCACUUUCAGCGGGGAGGCGUUACCCGCAGAAGAAGCACCGGCUAACUCCGUGCCAGCAGCCGCGGUAAUUC
Molecule: ribosomal RNA, 406 nt
Filed under: uncultured bacterium
Lineage: Bacteria
Description: partial 16S ribosomal RNA
Rfam family: Bacterial small subunit ribosomal RNA
Source: RNAcentral